Molecule: small RNA, 385 nt
Filed under: Bacilli
Lineage: Bacteria; Bacillati; Bacillota
Also listed under: 1 other name
Description: UMGS2016 sp945872435 Standard tmRNA
Rfam family: transfer-messenger RNA
About the family: Bacterial tmRNA, also known as 10Sa RNA or SsrA, is named for its dual tRNA and mRNA-like properties. Its role is to liberate the mRNA from a stalled ribosome. To accomplish this part of the tmRNA is used as a reading frame that ends in a translation stop signal.
Source: RNAcentral
GGGGCUGUUUUGGUUUCGACGGAUAUGAAAAAGCCUAAUUCGGCAAGUCGUAGGUACACGUUACGUACAAACAGAAAAUAACUGGAAAAAAUAAAUUAACUAACAUUCUUAGUAGAUUAAGUAGCGCUUUCGCUACUCCUACUUUUGCCUAAGAUAAGUGCAGGAAUGGCUCUUCUUUUUCUUUCUCCUAUUGGGAAUUUGUAAGGGCUCGAAUAAAUAGGAUAUAUUAUUAUUUAGCUUGGAAAUAAUAAUGAAUCUCACAAGCUUACUUAUAAAAUAGGUGUCCAUUACUAAUUUUUAUAAGGAAAUAUUCAAUGGACUAAACUUGUAGAUGGUUAGGGAGUUUUAUAUUCGGACAGGAGUUCAAUUCUCCUCAGCUCCACCA